This 919-nucleotide ribosomal RNA is filed under the name uncultured bacterium. RNAcentral describes it as "bacterial SSU rRNA". It matches the Rfam family "Bacterial small subunit ribosomal RNA", at positions 11 to 916 of the family's 1533-position model. The record is from RNAcentral.
GUUUGAUCCUGGCUCAGGACGAACGCUGGCGGCGCGCUUAACACAUGCAAGUCGAGCGAAAACCGGGACUUCGGUCCCGGGGAAAGCGGCGAACGGGUGAGUAACACGUGGAUAACCUGCCCUCGGCACCGGGAUAGCCCGGGGAAACUCGGAUUAAUACCGGAUGGCCCCUCCGACUUUCGGGUUGGCGGGAAAAGGUAGCUUCGGCCUCUGGCCGAGGAUGGGUCCGCGGCGGAUUAGCUUGUUGGCGGGGUAACGGCCCACCAAGGCGACGAUCCGUAGCUGGUCUGAGAGGACGAUCAGCCACACUGGGACUGAGACACGGCCCAGACUCCUACGGGAGGCAGCAGUGGGGAAUCUUGCGCAAUGGGCGAAAGCCUGACGCAGCGACGCCGCGUGAGGGAAGACGGCCUUCGGGUUGUAAACCUCUUUCAGGAGGGACGAAGCCACUCGGGUGAAUAGCCCAGAGGGUGACGGUACUUCCAGAAGAAGCCCCGGCUAACUACGUGCCAGCAGCCGCGGUAAUACGUAGGGGGCAAGCGUUGUCCGGAUUUACUGGGCGUAAAGAGCGUGUAGGCGGCCAAGCAGGUCCGUUGUGAAAACUGGAGGCUCAACCUCCAGACGUCGACGGAAACCGCUUGGCUAGAGUCCGGAAGAGGAGAGUGGAAUUCCUGGUGUAGCGGUGAAAUGCGCAGAUAUCAGGAAGAACACCAAUGGCGAAGGCAGCUCUCUGGGACGGUACUGACGCUGAGACGCGAAAGCGUGGGGAGCGAACAGCAUUAGAUACCCUGGUAGUCCACGCCGUAAACGAUGGGUGCUAGGUGUGGGAGGUGUCGACUCCUCCCGUGCCGCAGCUAACGCAUUAAGCACCCCGCCUGGGGAGUACGGCCGCAAGGCUAAAACUCAAAGGAAUUGACGG